UAUAAACCAUGUAUUUUUUAGGUGAUGGUGAGGACGGAUUAACAGCAGUCAACUUUUUUCAAAAAGUAAUGACUGAUACAAGAACACUCAUUUUGUGGCCAACUAGACUGAAAAUUGGAGCAAAAU
Acyrthosiphon pisum (pea aphid) is the source of this 126-nucleotide long non-coding RNA. RefSeq lists it as uncharacterized. The transcript has 2 exons. NCBI's taxonomy places the organism in Eukaryota, Metazoa, Arthropoda, Insecta, Hemiptera, Aphididae. The record is from RefSeq and is a predicted model, not a curated record.